Molecule: non-coding RNA, 249 nt
Organism: Vicia faba (fava bean)
Lineage: Eukaryota; Viridiplantae; Streptophyta; Magnoliopsida; Fabales; Fabaceae
Source: the annotation of a GenBank genome assembly
AUGCAAAUUAAGAAACCUAUUAAGGUAUCUGCUCCAAAAUAUGUAGAAUAUCUGAUGGACUGGGUUGAAACACAACUUGAUGAUGAAUCCAUAUUCCCUCAGAAGCUUGACCCGUGGGAUCAUGAUGCAUAUUCUCCAUUUCCUACCAACUUUAAGGAUGCCGUGAAGACAAUAUUCAAGCGGAUGUUCCAUGUAUAUGCUCAUAUUUAUCAUUCUCACUUUCAGAAAAUUGUGAGCCUUAAAGAAUAG